GUGAAAUUGUUGAAAGGGAAGCGUUUGGCAUCAGCCCUUGACGUCCGUCGAUCAUCCAGGCUUCUGCCUGGUGCACUUGUCGGACGUCGGGCCAGCGUCGGCUUCGCCCUCCGGAGAAAGGCCUGGGGAAUGUGGCUCCAUUCGUGGAGUGUUAUAGCCCCUGGCGUCAUGCGGUGUGGUGGGGCCGAGGUCCGCGGAUUUAUCCCAGGACGCUGGCGUAAUGGUUCCAAGCGACCCGUCUUGAAACACGGACCAAGGAGUCUAACAUCUAUGCGAGUGUUUGGGUGUCAAGCCCGUCCGCGCAAUGAAAGUGAAUGCAGGCGGGAGCCGUCAAGGUGCACCGCCGACCGGUCUGGGGGUUUUACCGAAGGAUCUGAGUAAGAGCAUAGCUGUUGGGACCCGAAUUAUGGUGAACUAUGCCUGAAUAGGGUGAAGCCAGAGGAAACUCUGGUGGAGGCUCGCAGCGGUUCUGACGUGCAAAUCGAUCGUCAAAUUUGGGUAUAGGGGCCAAAGAC
Molecule: ribosomal RNA, 515 nt
Filed under: uncultured Basidiomycota
Lineage: Eukaryota; Fungi; Basidiomycota
Description: LSU rRNA
Rfam family: Eukaryotic large subunit ribosomal RNA
Source: RNAcentral